GUGUCAGCAGCCGCGGUAAUACGUAGGGGGCGAGCGUUACCCGGAUUUACUGGGCGUAAAGCGCGCGCAGGCGGCUCCGUAAGUCGGGCGUGAAAGCUCCGGGCUCAACCCGGAGAGGCCGUCCGAAACUGCGGGGCUUGAGGACGGGAGAGGGGGGUGGAAUUCCCGGUGUAGCGGUGAAAUGCACAGAUAUCGGGAGGAACACCAGUGGGGAAGCCGGCCCCCUGGCCCGUUCCUGACGCUCAGGCGCGAAAGCGUGGGGAGCGAAGGGGAUUAGAUACCCCCGUAGUCCACGCCCUAAACGAUGGGUGCUAGGUGUGGGGGGUGUAAAAGCCCUCCGUGCCGUAGCCAACGCGUUAAGCACCCCGCCUGGGGAGUACGGCCGCAAGGCUAAAACUCAAAUGAAUUGGCGGGG
This 415-nucleotide ribosomal RNA is filed under the name uncultured prokaryote. Its description in RNAcentral is "bacterial SSU rRNA". It matches the Rfam family "Bacterial small subunit ribosomal RNA", at positions 505 to 918 of the family's 1533-position model. The record is from RNAcentral.